This 1128-nucleotide long non-coding RNA is filed under the name Urocitellus parryii (Arctic ground squirrel). Its description in RNAcentral is "lncRNA (ENSUPAG00010020644.1)". Lineage: Eukaryota; Metazoa; Chordata; Mammalia; Rodentia; Sciuridae. The record is from RNAcentral.
AAAAUACCUCCCGGGGCUGGGGGCGGGCGGGGGCACGCCUCUCUGAAGGGCAGCCUACCGUGACCAAUAGCAGGCGGGGCUUUGGUGGGGCGGGAUUCCCAGCGGCCAAUCCGGAGGCGUGUAGGUGAAGGCCGGAGGAGGGAGGCAGAGAACGAGAAGGGGGCGGCCCGGGAGCCUGGGAGGUCCGGCCGCUCGGGUGCGCGCUGUGCGCGGCCUCCAUUUUGGAGUCGGGCAGCUGCGACGGAGGCCGGGUCCGGCCAGGGAAAGGAAGGAGCCAGUCAGCUCAACCUGCAUUGGAUUAGAUGGCUCCAUAUGAAGUAGCCUAUUAUCAGCCAUGUUUGGCUUCCAGAGAGGAUAAUCAUAGUGGAAACUGCAUUGCUGUCAGCAUGGUUUGGUGGAAAGAACAUGGAGAUCAGAUUCUGGAGUUCUGAAUUCAAAUCUCAACAGCACAAAACUGUGGGAAAGCCAUUUUCCCUCCCCGUAUCUUACUUUCUGAUUCAAUAAUAUUAAACUUGCAUAGUAUGUAAGGUGCAUGAAACAGCUUCUGCCUUCUUUGGGCUCACAGUUUACUUGAUAUAAAAGUCAUCUGGAAAACACUACUAUUCAAGGCAGAGCAUGAGGGUGCCACAGUUGCCUUUUUCUUUUUUAUUAAAUGGCAUUCUUUUUUUUUUUUUAAAGAGAGAGUGAGAAAGAGGGAGAGAAUUUUAAUAUUUAUUUUUUAGUAUUUGGCGGACACAACAUCUUUGUUUGUAUGUGGUGCUGAGGAUUGAACCCGGGCCGCACACAUGCCAGGCGAGCAUGCUACCGCUUGAGCCAUAUCCCCAGCCCUUAAACGGCAUUCUGAGCAAGAGAAAUUACUGCCUGUUGCAAUAAUCCAGAAGGCAAUAUACAAGAGAGGACAGUUGAGCUUGGGAUUAAAGAAUGAUUAAAUUUCAUUAAGCAGAGAAUUGGGGGAGGGCAGUUCAGCAGUUUAAGCAAGUAACAGGGUAGGAGCAAAGGUGCAGAGCUGGAAAACACAAUGCUAUUUUGGUAUGGUUGGACAGAUGGCUCAUGUGGGCGGCUGUGGGAGAUAAGACUAGAAGCCUGAUUUCCCAUGGCAUGUAGUAGGCAUUUUAAAGUUUAGUUUCU